UACGUAGGGGGCAAGCGUUGUCCGGAUUUAUUGGGCGUAAAGAGCGUGUAGGCGGCCACGCAGGUCCGUUGUGAAAACUGGAGGCUCAACUUCCAGCCGUCGACGGAAACCGUGUGGCUAGAGUCCGGAAGAGGAGAGUGGAAUUCCUGGUGUAGCGGUGAAAUGCGCAGAUAUCAGGAAGAACACCAAUGGCGAAGGCAGCUCUCUGGGACGGUACUGACGCUGAGACGCGAAAGCGUGGGGAGCGAACAGG
Molecule: ribosomal RNA, 253 nt
Filed under: uncultured bacterium
Lineage: Bacteria
Description: partial 16S ribosomal RNA
Rfam family: Bacterial small subunit ribosomal RNA
Source: RNAcentral